CGUGCCUGCUCAGGUGGCCAUUGCCGUUGAUGCCCCCUCUGACGUCAAUCCCGACGUCCCUCGAGCCUCUUCACGGAGCCCCCCAGUCGAGGAUUUUGCUCCAGAGGCUCGUCCCGAGGGGGCACCGAGGGCCGAAAGAAGGAGGAGGAAGAAGACCCUGGCCCGCAAGAGCUGCAGCUGCAAGACUGCCAUCGAGGGGGCCGACGGCUCCGAGGGA
Molecule: long non-coding RNA, 217 nt
Filed under: Elaeis guineensis (African oil palm)
Lineage: Eukaryota; Viridiplantae; Streptophyta; Magnoliopsida; Arecales; Arecaceae
Description: long non-coding RNA (EGUI_LNC070989)
Source: RNAcentral